AGGGAUCAUUACCGAGUUUACAACUCCCAAACCCAAUGUGAACGUUACCAAACUGUUGCCUCGGCGGGAUCUCUGCCCCGGGUGCGUCGCAGCCCCGGACCAAGGCGCCCGCCGGAGGACCAACCUAAAACUCUUAUUGUAUACCCCCUCGCGGGUUUUUUUUAUAAUCUGAGCCUUCUCGGCGCCUCUCGUAGGCGUUUCGAAAAUGAAUCAAAACUUUCAACAACGGAUCUCUUGGUUCUGGCAUCGAUGAAGAACGCAGCGAAAUGCGAUAAGUAAUGUGAAUUGCAGAAUUCAGUGAAUCAUCGAAUCUUUGAACGCACAUUGCGCCCGCCAGUAUUCUGGCGGGCAUGCCUGUCCGAGCGUCAUUUCAACCCUCGAACCCCUCCGGGGGGUCGGCGUUGGGGAUCGGCCCUCCCUUAGCGGGUGGCCGUCUCCGAAAUACAGUGGCGGUCUCGCCGCAGCCUCUCCUGCGCAGUAGUUUGCACACUCGCAUCGGGAGCGCGGCGCGUCCACAGCCGUUAAACACCCAACUUCUGAAAUGUUGACCUCGGAUCAGGUAGGAAUACCCGCUGAACUUAA
Molecule: ribosomal RNA, 582 nt
Filed under: Trichoderma harzianum
Lineage: Eukaryota; Fungi; Ascomycota; Sordariomycetes; Hypocreales; Hypocreaceae
Also listed under: 8 other names
Description: eukaryotic LSU rRNA
Rfam family: 5.8S ribosomal RNA (bases 215-368)
Source: RNAcentral